GGAGUUAGCCGGUGCUUCUUCUGCGAGUAACGUCACAGAUGUAAGGUAUUAACUUACACCCUUUCCUCCUCGCUGAAAGUGCUUUACAACCCGAAGGCCUUCUUCACACACGCGGCAUGGCUGCAUCAGGGUUUCCCCCAUUGUGCAAUAUUCCCCACUGCUGCCUCCCGUAGGAGUCUGGGCCGUGUCUCAGUCCCAGUGUGGCUGAUCAUCCUCUCAGACCAGCUAGGGAUCGUCGCCUAGGUGAUCCUUUACCUCACCUACUAGCUAAUCCCACCUGGGCUUAUCCAUCAGCGCAAGGCCCGAAGGUCCCCUGCUUUCCCCCGUAGGGCGUAUGCGGUAUUAGCAGUCGUUUCCAACUGUUAUCCCCCACAAAUGGGCAAAUUCCCAGGCAUUACUCACCCGUCCGCCGCUCGUCAUCUUCAAAAGCAAGCUUUUGAAAUGUUACCGCUCGACUUGCAUGUGUUAGGCCUGCCGCCAGCGUUCAAUCUGAGCCAGAAUCGAACCCUGA
This 511-nucleotide ribosomal RNA is filed under the name uncultured bacterium. RNAcentral's name for it is "partial 16S ribosomal RNA". The record is from RNAcentral.